RNAcentral lists this ribosomal RNA (419 nucleotides) under uncultured Leptospirillum sp. RNAcentral describes it as "bacterial SSU rRNA". It matches the Rfam family "Bacterial small subunit ribosomal RNA", at positions 360 to 771 of the family's 1533-position model. Lineage: Bacteria; Pseudomonadati; Nitrospirota; Nitrospiria; Nitrospirales; Nitrospiraceae. The record is from RNAcentral.
AAUUUUGCGCAAUGGGGGCAACCCUGACGCAGCAACGCCGCGUGUGGGAAGAAGGCUUUCGGGUUGUAAACCACUUUUGUAAGGGACGAAGGCCCUUCGGCUAAUAACCGAGGGGGAUGACGGUACCUUGCGAAUAAGCCACGGCUAACUCUGUGCCAGCAGCCGCGGUAAGACAGGGGUGGCAAGCGUUGUUCGGAGUAACUGGGCGUAAAGGGUCUGUAGGUGGUUUUUCAAGUCUUUGGUAAAACGCCGUGGCUCAACCAUGGUUUGGCCAAGGAGACUGGGAGACUGGAGGCUGGGAGAGGGAAGCGGAAUUUCUGGUGUAGCGGUGAAAUGCGUAGAGAUCAGAAAGAAGGCCGGUGGCGAAGGCGGCUUCCUGGAACAGACCUGACACUGAGAGACGAAAGCGUGGGGAGCAA